UACGGAGGGUGCGAGCGUUGUCCGGAAUCAUUGGGCGUAAAGGGCGCGUAGGUGGCCCGGUCAGUCCGUGGUGAAAGCGCGGGGCUCAACCCCGCGUCGGCCAUGGAUACUGCUGGGCUGGAGCACUGUAGAGGCAGGCGGAAUUCCGGGUGUAGCGGUGGAAUGCGUAGAGAUCCGGAAGAACACCGGUGGCGAAGGCGGCCUGCUGGGCAGUUGCUGACACUGAGGCGCGACAGCGUGGGGAGCAAACAGG
RNAcentral lists this ribosomal RNA (253 nucleotides) under uncultured bacterium. RNAcentral's name for it is "partial 16S ribosomal RNA". It matches the Rfam family "Bacterial small subunit ribosomal RNA", at positions 524 to 776 of the family's 1533-position model. The record is from RNAcentral.